Molecule: ribosomal RNA, 494 nt
Filed under: uncultured bacterium
Lineage: Bacteria
Description: partial 16S ribosomal RNA
Rfam family: Bacterial small subunit ribosomal RNA
Source: RNAcentral
GAUGAACGCUGGCGGCGUGCCUAAUACAUGCAAGUCGAGCGAACGGACGAGAAGCUUGCUUUUCUGAUGUUAGCGGCGGACGGGUGAGUAACACGUGGAUAACCUACCUAUAAGACUGGGAUAACUUCGGGAAACCGGAGCUAAUACCGGAUAAUAUUUUGAACCGCAUGGUUCAAAAGUGAAAGACGGUCUUGCUGUCACUUAUAGAUGGAUCCGCGCUGCAUUAGCUAGUUGGUAAGGUAACGGCUUACCAAGGCAACGAUGCAUAGCCGACCUGAGAGGGUGAUCGGCCACACUGGAACUGAGACACGGUCCAGACUCCUACGGGAGGCAGCAGUAGGGAAUCGUCCGCAAUGGGCGAAAGCCUGACGGAGCAACGCCGCGUGAGUGAUGAAGGUCGUCGGAUCGUAAAACUCUGUUAUUAGGGAAGAACAUAUGUGUAAGUAACUGUGCACAUCUUGACGGUACCUAAUCAGAAAGCCACGGCUAACUAC